Long non-coding RNA from Helianthus annuus (common sunflower), 392 nucleotides. RefSeq lists it as uncharacterized. The record is from RefSeq and is a predicted model, not a curated record. The transcript is spliced from 3 exons. Lineage: Eukaryota; Viridiplantae; Streptophyta; Magnoliopsida; Asterales; Asteraceae.
UAUAUAUAUAUAUAAAUGAGAUGUGAUUUGGGCUAGGUGGCAUUGGAUUUGGGACAUUUUUGCUGAUGUGGCAACUUAUAUUUUUGAGUUUAGGAGGGAAUUCUCAAAUGCCUUCAUCAUUCACGAUUUUAACAAAAAAGUGGCGGGAUCCGGCUGUGAUUCGGGUCACCCAAUAUUAAAAAACGGAUCCUAUAUAUCAUCUUUACCAGACCACCAUAUCUCAUAACCUCACUUUUCACAAACCCUACAUACCAUUUCCUAAAUCUGCUUCUUCGUUUUUCAGAGAUUCAUCGUCCUUAGAUGAGAUUCAUAAGGACGACAAUGUUUUGAUGCUUUCUUCAUCUUCAUGGUUUGCUUGUGGUCUUUCGUAUCCGUCAAAACCCUAAUCGACC